GAGAGAGACAUGCGCGCAUAUCAAUAAGCGGAGGAAAAGAAACUAACAAGGAUUCCCUUAGUAACGGCGAGUGAAGCGGGAAGAGCUCAAAUUUGAAAUCUUCAAGGUUCUACCUUGACGAAUUGUAGUUUAUAGAAGUGUUUUCUGUUAGUGGAGUGGCAAAAGUUCUUUGGAAUAGGACAUCAUAGAGGGUGAGAAUCCCGUAUUUGGUCAUUCCUCCUAGCGUCGUGAUACACUUUCAACGAGUCGGAUUGUUUGGGAAUGCAGUCCAAAAUGGGUGGUAAAUUUCAUCUAAAGCUAAAUAUUGGCGAGAGACCGAUAGCGAACAAGUACCGUGAGGGAAAGAUGAAAAGAACUUUGAAAAGAGAGUUAAACAGUACGUGAAAUUGUCAAAAGGGAAGCGUUUGACACCAGUGUUGUUUUUCCGAAAAUCAAUUACGAAUGUUUUGUUUUUGAGGAGUUAUGACUUCAUCGGCUUGCUCCUUUCUUUACGAAACUUUCUUAAUGCACUUUUCGGUUAACAAGUCAACAUCAAUUUCUUUUGUUGUAAAAGGGUAUGAGGAAGGUGGCUUUCUUUUCGGAGAAAGUGUUUAUAGCCUUGUGCCUCUGCAAUCGGAGAGAUUGAGGUCUGCAGCGUAGAUCCUUCGGGGUUAGAUACCUUGUGCUAAGUUAUAGCUUUUCAUAGACAACUUGUUGACUAUGUUUAGUCUUGUAGCUUACUCGCUUAUCGCUAUUUUACCUACGCUUAGGAUGUUGAUAGUCACAGCGUGUAC
This 773-nucleotide ribosomal RNA is filed under the name uncultured Neocallimastigales. Its description in RNAcentral is "partial large subunit ribosomal RNA". It matches the Rfam family "Eukaryotic large subunit ribosomal RNA", at positions 23 to 644 of the family's 3401-position model. The record is from RNAcentral. Lineage: Eukaryota; Fungi; Neocallimastigomycota; Neocallimastigomycetes; Neocallimastigales.